UGAAUUUAAAUGUAUAUGUGAGGAUCUGUGCGGGCGUGUGUUUAGUCCCACAUCGGUUAUUCGCCGAGAAGAUCUUUGGUACUUAUAAAAGACUAAGAAACCCAAAAAAUACCUUUCGGCUAGCCAUUUUGGGCGAGAUCCUGGAUUGUUACAAAUGGUAUCAGAGUGAACUCGGCUUAUAGCCUAUGUGGACUAGGAGAUACUGCAAUAUGGGUUUAUAGAGGCUGACCAUAGGCUGAUCGUGGUGCUUGUAAUUAUAUUUGAAUUGAUUUGAACCCUUAGCAUGACGAGAAUGUCAGGGCUUGAAUGGGGGGAGUAUGUGAGGACUCGUGCGGGCAUGUGUUUAGUUCCACAUCAGUUAUUCGCCGAGAAGAUCUUGGGUACUUAUAUGGGACUAAGGAACUCAAAAAAUACCUUCUGGCUAGCCAUUUUGGGUAAGAUCCUGGGUUGUUAUAGUUCAACCAAAAUUUUUAGGUUUACUUCUAUGCAGGUCUACAAGGCACAAGAUGUUGGUGUGAACGGUUUUGUGCUCUUUCCAAAAAUUCUUGAUGCAUAGAAGGCCAUUUUUAGUAUGCAGGCUCAUCUAUUAUUAUUAUUAUUAUUAAUCUUGAAUGGUAAAGAAUGUGAUACUUUUGUUCAUCCAGUUACAAACAAGAGAUGAAGCAUUCAACGACAAUGGUUUGGUACCCCAGGCAAUAUGCCUGCUGAAGGACAAAUACCCUGACAUUGUGUCAUCAUGAAGAUGAAAAAGAUCAUCAGUUGUGUAAACAGGCUGUUUGUCAGGCCCUUGAAGGUGCUCAUGUUGUUAGUCCUAGUGACAUGAUGGAUGGCUGAGCUGCAGCAAUAUGAGCAGAUCUGGAUGCUGAAGGCUUUCAGGAUGUGUCCAUUAUGUCCUACACUGCACAGUUAUAUUAUCAGAUUUCAACUUCUCUGUAUGCUAGUUCAUCUUAAGGUCCAUUUAGAGAAGCUUUAGAUUCCGAUCCAUGCUUCGGGGACAAGAAAACAAGUGUAUCUCAUUAAUAGCAUGAUGGAAUUUAUUGAGGUAGUUCAUCUUCUCGUUCAGUCCUAAGUGCUUGUCUGGCUUAUUUGAUAAAAGUUAUCAGAUGAACCUAGCAAAUUAUAGAGAAGCCCCUGUUGAAACUGAGGCAGAUGAGGAUGAAGGAGCGGAUAUUCUUUUGGCAGGUAAAACCAGCAAUGCCAUAUUUGGAUGUUGUAUGGCUUCUUCAAGAUAAUUCUGCUUUACCUUUUGCUGCAUAUCAGGUAUAUAUUAUUGUCAGAUCACUUCAUCAUGCAUCUUUUAAGCAUUAGUUUACUAUCUUCCUCAUCGUACAUUGUAUGUUUUGCUCAUAAGUGUUUUACUGUACUAAGAACAGUUCAUCUCUUGAUUAAUCUUCCGUCUAGUUAUUAAUUGGCUGCUGGAAACUCUGUUGACAGACAACUUUGUUCAUAGAUGAUGAUGUUGAUCUACUUCUCUACAUUUUUUCCCAAAUGGCUGUUUGAUCUAUCUACUUCUUGCUGUCUUCUUGUUUCUUUAGUGAAUAGGUCAUAGCAAGGAGACUCACCUCUUGAUGCCUAUGCUUUAAUUUUCUGCUUAUGUUAUUGCAUCCUACAUGAUAACCAACAAGCCUCUCCAUAUGUCUCUUGAUGCAUGCAUGGUAGUUGGAACACUUCAACUGAUGGACUGUCUGGCGGGCAUUAAAGUUCUUCUUAUUGCCAACUCAUGUCACAAGCUAGAAGAGAAUUUAGCGAAACAGAAAUUGUUCUAAGUGACUUAUGUAAUUGAGCAUAAAUUAGCAAAAACAUCUUCUUGGACAAAUAAUGGUCAAUUUGCAGGCAGGGGAUGUUAUCUGAAACUGGAAAACCAGCUUAAUCUGGAUGGGCCAAACUAUGGCAUGUAUUAAUGCCCCUCAGAGAAGUUGUGAGCAUUAUAACUACUUUAGGGGGAUCCUACUU
This is a non-coding RNA of Phoenix dactylifera (date palm), 1953 nucleotides long. The record is from RefSeq and is a predicted model, not a curated record. Lineage: Eukaryota; Viridiplantae; Streptophyta; Magnoliopsida; Arecales; Arecaceae.